RNAcentral lists this ribosomal RNA (928 nucleotides) under uncultured bacterium. RNAcentral describes it as "bacterial SSU rRNA". It matches the Rfam family "Bacterial small subunit ribosomal RNA", at positions 8 to 916 of the family's 1533-position model. The record is from RNAcentral.
AGAGUUUGAUCAUGGCUCAGAAUCAACGCUGGCGGCGUGCCUAACACAUGCAAGUCGUACGCGAAAGGGGAGCAAUCCCUGAGUAGAGUGGCAAACGGGUGAGUAACACGUGGGUGACCUGCCUCAGAGUGGGGGAUAACGUCCCGAAAGGGACGCUAAUACCGCAUAACAUCCUGCCUUUGGAAAGGCGGAGAUCAAAGCCGGGGAUCGCAAGACCUGGCGCUUGGAGAGGGGCCCGCGUCUGAUUAGCUAGUUGGUAGGGUAAUGGCCUACCAAGGCGACGAUCAGUAUCCGGCCUGAGAGGGCGGACGGACACACUGGGACUGAGACACGGCCCAGACUCCUACGGGAGGCAGCAGUGGGGAAUUGUUCGCAAUGGGCGCAAGCCUGACGACGCAACGCCGCGUGGAGGAUGAAGAUCUUCGGGUCGUAAACUCCUGUCGAGCGGGAAGAACACUUUCCGGGUGAACAAUCCGGAGGGCUGACGGUACCGCUAAAGGAAGCCCCGGCUAACUCCGUGCCAGCAGCCGCGGUAAUACGGGGGGGGCAAGCGUUGUUCGGAAUUACUGGGCGUAAAGGGCUCGUAGGCGGCCAACUAAGUCGGACGUGAAAUCCCCAGGCUCAACCUGGGAACUGCGUCCGAUACUGGAUGGCUUGAAUCCGGGAGAGGGAUGCAGAAUUCCAGGUGUAGCGGUGAGAUGCGUAGAUAUCUGGAGGAAUACCGGUGGCGAAGGCGGCAUCCUGGACCGGCAUUGACGCUGAGGAGCGAAAGCCAGGGGAGCAAACGGGAUUAGAUACCCCGGUAGUCCUGGCCCUAAACGAUGAAUGCUUGGUGUAACGGGUAUCGAUCCCUGUGUGCCGAAGCUAACGCAUUAAGCAUUCCGCCUGGGGGAGUACGUCGCAAGGCUGAAACUCAAAAUGAUGACGG